GCCGUGGUGCGCAAACGCGCCGGGCGCCUCCGAAGCGAAUUCUGCGCGCGGAAGCCCUGGAGGAGGCGCAGGUUAUAGUGCCUUGAGGGAAGCAGCGGUUCCACGUGCUCCUCUCGCGGCGGGUUGAAACCGUUGGCGGGCGCUGGCUAAGAGAUGCAGACUCUAGCUCAGAUCCUCUGGCCCUGAGUCCAGGCCCAGGUCAACAGAAGGUGGCCACCAGCUUGAUAAAAGGAGACUGAGGUGCCUGAAUUGCUUCACAGGUUCCCAGCUUCUAGAGAUGCUGUCUGCUACCCAUCAGCUCAGCACUGCUGUUCAAUAUCCAUCAUCCUCUGCUGUGACAUGGGUGGUCUCCUUGUUCACUGUGGCUUAACUUAAGAAUAAAAGACCUUUAGGAUCGUAA
Molecule: non-coding RNA, 400 nt
Organism: Odocoileus virginianus texanus
Lineage: Eukaryota; Metazoa; Chordata; Mammalia; Artiodactyla; Cervidae
Source: RefSeq, a predicted model, not a curated record